CGACUCCAUUGCAAAGAAACAUAAUAUAUGGAAAAAUUACUAGAAAAUCUAGGAAAACUGACUGAAUGCUUUGGAAAGACACAGUCAAGAUUAAAAAAAAUGUGUCACAAGAAAGUUUACAGAACCUACUCAAACUCAAAGAGAAAUCAGAGACUAAAUUCUCAAAACUGGAAGCUGCCUGCAGCAUCCACACUCUUCAGCCCUGUACUAUGUGAUGUGUAUUACGAAUGGAGCCACCAGCAGUAUUUGUAUGAACAUGAGACAAUGUGUGGCAGAUGCUUGCUGCUUUGUAAUAUUUAGUAAAAUAAAACAAUAAUAAUGUAACUAUAAUA
RNAcentral lists this non-coding RNA (332 nucleotides) under Pan troglodytes (chimpanzee). The record is from RNAcentral. Lineage: Eukaryota; Metazoa; Chordata; Mammalia; Primates; Hominidae.